AGAGUUUGAUCAUGGCUCAGGACGAACGCUGGCGGCGUGCUUAAUACAUGCAAGUCGAGCGACGAAACCAGAACUCGUAAGAGUUCUGGCUGAAAGCGGCGAACGGGUGAGUAACACGUGGGUAACGUGCCCUGGACUUCGGGACAACCACGGGAAACCGUGGCUAAUACCGGAUAACCCCAGUAAUGCGCAUGCAUAGCUGGGCAAAGCUCCGGCGGUCCGGGAUCGGCCCGCGGUGUAUCAGCUUGUUGGUGGGGUAACGGCCUACCAAGGCUAUGACGCAUAGCUGGCGUGAGAGCGUGGCCAGCCACACUGGGACUGAGACACGGCCCAGACUCCUACGGGAGGCAGCAGUAGGGAAUCUUGCGCAAUGGGCGAAAGCCUGACGCAGCGACGCCGCGUGAGGGAUGAAUGCCUUCGGGUUGUAAACCUCUUUCAGCAGGGACGAAGCCUCACGGUGACGGUACCUGCAGAAGAAGCCCCGGCCAACUACGUGCCAGCAGCCGCGGUAAUACGUAGGGGGCUAGCGUUGUCCGGAUUUAUUGGGCGUAAAGAGCGCGUAGGCGGCUAUCCACGUCGGGUGUGAAAGCUCGGGGCUCAACCCUGAGAGGCCAUUCGAUACGGGGUAGCUAGAGGCAGCUAGGGGAGAAUGGAAUUCCUGGUGUAGCGGUGAAAUGCGCAGAUAUCAGGAGGAACACCGGUGGCGAAGGCGGUUCUCUGGAGCUGUCCUGACGCUGAGGCGCGAAAGCUGGGGGAGCGAACAGGAUUAGAUACCCCUGUAGUCC
This 785-nucleotide ribosomal RNA is filed under the name uncultured Actinomycetales bacterium. Its description in RNAcentral is "bacterial SSU rRNA". It matches the Rfam family "Bacterial small subunit ribosomal RNA", at positions 8 to 796 of the family's 1533-position model. Lineage: Bacteria; Bacillati; Actinomycetota; Actinomycetes; Actinomycetales. The record is from RNAcentral.